This 253-nucleotide ribosomal RNA is filed under the name uncultured bacterium. RNAcentral describes it as "partial 16S ribosomal RNA". It matches the Rfam family "Bacterial small subunit ribosomal RNA", at positions 524 to 776 of the family's 1533-position model. The record is from RNAcentral.
UACGAAGGGGGCUAGCGUUGCUCGGAAUUACUGGGCGUAAAGCGCACGUAGGCGGCUUUCUAAGUCGGGGGUGAAAUCCUGGAGCUCAACUCCAGAACUGCCUUCGAUACUGGAGAGCUCGAGUCCGGGAGAGGUGAGUGGAACUGCGAGUGUAGAGGUGAAAUUCGUAGAUAUUCGCAGGAACACCAGUGGCGAAGGCGGCUCACUGGCCCGGUACUGACGCUGAGGUGCGAAAGCGUGGGGAGCAAACAGG